Molecule: long non-coding RNA, 517 nt
Filed under: Carica papaya (papaya)
Lineage: Eukaryota; Viridiplantae; Streptophyta; Magnoliopsida; Brassicales; Caricaceae
Description: long non-coding RNA (CPAP_LNC016217)
Source: RNAcentral
GAGAGGAGCCUUCGCACCUUCCCUCAAGCAGCAGGGAACCUUAGGUCCUCCGCUUCACACCGCAGACCAGCACCUACUGCACCUGUUCAACAAAAUAAGAGACCCAGAUCGAUGACUCAGGCUCCCCCCUCAAGUUCCAGCAGCAGGACGUGGUAAGAUCUGUCAGCAUUGUGGCAAGGAUCAUGGGGAUCGACCCUGCUAUCGCCUCAACAACACCUACCGAAUAUGUGGUAGCGCCCAACAUUACGCAAGGGAGUGUCCGAGCAACCAGAACUAGGCCAGACCUCGUAUCCAAGGCAGGGCUUACAAUCUCACUCAGCAGUAUGCAUAAGCCAACCUGGAAGUGGUACAUGGUAUGCACACUAUACGUAACCAUCUUGCUCAUGUCUUGAUUGAUACUGGUGCAUCGCAUUCAUUUGUUUGACAUGUUUUUGCAUCAAAAUUAAAUAUAUCAUCUGAAAAACUUGAUUUUGUGUUAUUUGUGUCUACUCUUGGGAGCAGGACACUACUGGGGGAG